RNAcentral lists this long non-coding RNA (1043 nucleotides) under Hordeum vulgare. Its description in RNAcentral is "long non-coding RNA (HVUL_LNC003002)". The record is from RNAcentral. Lineage: Eukaryota; Viridiplantae; Streptophyta; Magnoliopsida; Poales; Poaceae.
CUGAAGCACGCUUUAGUCUAUCCAUGAGAAGUUGUUGUCGUCCUCCUCGCUGCCACCGCCAGAGCCGAAACUUGGUGGUAAGCCUCUUCUCCCCCUCCGAGUUCUUCCGCUUUGCUUUGGACGAUAUAUGUUCAUGUCAUUAUUGUUCAUUAAUAUCUUCUAUUGUUCUAGCUGAUAAUCUUGACUUUUCCGGUGUUCAUGGAGGUAGCUAAGGUAUACCUAUUAUGUAGUCGACGAGGAGGCUUACCUAUGAUGCCCGUGCAAUUGAAAUGUUUGUAGGCCAGCCUGUGAUGUUAAGUUGGAGGCUUACUUAUGAUGUUAGGUUGUUGUACACGGAAAUUUUGUGGGAUAGUUUGCAGAUUGGGAGUUAUGUUUUUUUGGUUGGUUUUUUAGAUUGUUGUAGUUAAAAUAUGAGAUGGAAGGCACACAUUGAAUACCGAGCUAUGUUACAAAUUUAUAGAUGGCCAGUCUAUAGAUUAUAGGUAUGAGUGGACUAAGUGAGAAAAUACAUGAUUGUAGGUUGCUAAUUAUGCGUCUGUGUUCAUGUGUGCGUGUUGUUAUUACUGGAAGAGGUGGAUUAGGGUGCACUGUUGAAGCAUUUUGAUUGCCCCGAGAGAAAUGAGUACACUGCAACAAACAACGGUUUGCUUACUAACCUCAUAAAUAUUUCAAGUGUAAGUCUCUAACUACAUGAAUAUUGGUGUGCAUGGAGCAUUUUAUUUCAAGUGUAAGUCUCUAACUAUUCAGCAUUCACAACAUGGAGCAUUUUAUGGAUUAUGAUUCUCCGAGUACAGCUACAUUUAGUUCCCACUACUUGUAACAACCAGGCUGGACUGUUUUGUGUUGACUGCUGUCAAAUACAUGAACCUGAAUGCUCAUAUAUGCUUUGUAUUUAAUGUAUACUUGUGUAGAAAAAUAAAGUGGGUCUUCAACUGUUCAAGACAGUUAUGGCUAAUGCUAGCUUCAAAAUGAGUCCCAGGCUUAACUGUUAAUGUGCAAGCAAAAUAGUAAUAAUUACUCAUGCACUUAGAGUAAUCUAUUCU